UACGUAGGGUGCGAGCGUUGUCCGGAAUUAUUGGGCGUAAAGGGCUCGUAGGCGGUUUGUCGCGUCGGGAGUGAAAACACCGGGCUUAACUCGGUGCUUGCUUCCGAUACGGGCAGACUAGAGGCAUGCAGGGGAGAACGGAAUUCCUGGUGUAGCGGUGAAAUGCGCAGAUAUCAGGAGGAACACCGGUGGCGGAGGCAGGUCUCUGGGCCGAUACUGACGCUGAGGAGCGAAAGCGUGGGGAGCGAACAGG
This 253-nucleotide ribosomal RNA is filed under the name uncultured bacterium. Its description in RNAcentral is "partial 16S ribosomal RNA". It matches the Rfam family "Bacterial small subunit ribosomal RNA", at positions 524 to 776 of the family's 1533-position model. The record is from RNAcentral.